Molecule: transfer RNA, 74 nt
Filed under: Culex quinquefasciatus (southern house mosquito)
Lineage: Eukaryota; Metazoa; Arthropoda; Insecta; Diptera; Culicidae
Rfam family: tRNA
About the family: Transfer RNA (tRNA) molecules are approximately 80 nucleotides in length. Their secondary structure includes four short double-helical elements and three loops (D, anti-codon, and T loops).
Source: Rfam by way of RNAcentral
GCCCGUGUGGAUCAAUCGGAUCGCGCACUGGACUCACAAUCCAGGGGUCGCCGGUUUGAAUCCCGCGGCGGGCG